CUAAAGGCUUGGUCCUGACCUUAAUAUUAAUUAUAACUAUAAUUACACAUGCAAGUAUCCGCGCCCCCGUGAAAACGCCCUACUUUACCACUACAGUAAAAAAGGAGCUGAUAUCAGGCACUAAAAAGCCUAUAACAUCUAGCAAAGCCACACCCUCAAGGGAUCUUCAGCAGUGAUAGAUAUUGGGUAAUAAGCUAUAAAAGCUUGAACCAGUAAUAGUUAUUAAAACCGGUCAAUCUCGUGCCAGCCGCCGCGGUUAUACGAGAGGUCUAAAUUAAUAAUAACGGCUCAAAGGGUGGUUAAAGUAUAUUGACUAAUAAUAAGACUAAAAAUAAAUUUAGCUGUCGCACGCAAAAAUUCAACCUAAAUCCUUAAACGAAAGUUGCCUUAAAAUAAAAUUAACUUGAAGCCACGACAUCUGGGUUACAAACUAGGAUUAGAUACCCUACUAUGCCUAGACAUAAACUUUGAUAAUUUCGCCAGAGUACUACGAGCAACAGCUUAAAACUCAAAGGACUUGGCGGUGCCCCACACCCACCUAGAGGAGCCUGUUCUAUAAUCGAUAAUCCACGUUUUACCUCACCAUCUCUUGCCAAUCCCGCCUAUAUACCACCGUCGUCAGCCUACCCUUUAAGGGAAAAAUAGUAAGCAUAAUGAUACACGUCAAAACGUCAGGUCAAGGUGUAGCACAUGAGAUGGAAAGAAAUGGGCUACAUUUUCUUCUUAAGAAAACACGAAAGAUUCUUUGAAAACAGACUCUAAAGGUGGAUUUAGCAGUAAAGAAAAACCAUAAUGUUUUCUUUAAUUAGGCCCUGGGGCGCGCACACACCGCCCGUCACCCUCAUCAAACACAAUUAAAAAUUUUCCUAAAAAAAUCAUAUAAUAAAGAAGAGGAAAGUCGUAACAUGGUAAGUCUACCGGAAGGUGGACUUGGAA
RNAcentral lists this non-coding RNA (936 nucleotides) under Pseudobranchus axanthus (narrow-striped dwarf siren). RNAcentral's name for it is "12S ribosomal RNA". It matches the Rfam family "Bacterial small subunit ribosomal RNA". The record is from RNAcentral. Lineage: Eukaryota; Metazoa; Chordata; Amphibia; Caudata; Sirenidae.